RNAcentral lists this ribosomal RNA (829 nucleotides) under Pseudomonas sp. 166. RNAcentral's name for it is "bacterial SSU rRNA". It matches the Rfam family "Bacterial small subunit ribosomal RNA", at positions 79 to 904 of the family's 1533-position model. The record is from RNAcentral. Lineage: Bacteria; Pseudomonadati; Pseudomonadota; Gammaproteobacteria; Pseudomonadales; Pseudomonadaceae.
CUUGUUGCUCUUGGGGGCUCCGGAGGGGUGAGUAAUACCUAGGAAUCUGCCUGAUAGUGGGGGAUAACGUUCGGAAACGGACGCUAAUACCGCAUACGUCCUACGGGAGAAAGCAGGGGACCUUCGGGCCUUGCGCUAUCAGAUGAGCCUAGGUCGGAUUAGCUAGUUGGUGAGGUAAUGGCUCACCAAGGCUACGAUCCGUAACUGGUCUGAGAGGAUGAUCAGUCACACUGGAACUGAGACACGGUCCAGACUCCUACGGGAGGCAGCAGUGGGGAAUAUUGGACAAUGGGCGAAAGCCUGAUCCAGCCAUGCCGCGUGUGUGAAGAAGGUCUUCGGAUUGUAAAGCACUUUAAGUUGGGAGGAAGGGCAUUAACCUAAUACGUUAGUGUUUUGACGUUACCGACAGAAUAAGCACCGGCUAACUCUGUGCCAGCAGCCGCGGUAAUACAGAGGGUGCAAGCGUUAAUCGGAAUUACUGGGCGUAAAGCGCGCGUAGGUGGUUUGUUAAGUUGAAUGUGAAAUCCCCGGGCUCAACCUGGGAACUGCAUCCAAAACUGGCAAGCUAGAGUAUGGUAGAGGGUAGUGGAAUUUCCUGUGUAGCGGUGAAAUGCGUAGAUAUAGGAAGGAACACCAGUGGCGAAGGCGACUACCUGGACUGAUACUGACACUGAGGUGCGAAAGCGUGGGGAGCAAACAGGAUUAGAUACCCUGGUAGUCCACGCCGUAAACGAUGUCAACUAGCCGUUGGGAGUCUUGAACUCUUAGUGGCGCAGCUAACGCAUUAAGUUGACCGCCUGGGGAGUACGGCCGCAAGGUUUAAACUCAA